ACAGAUAAGGACACCCGUGACCUCCGAGGUCACAGUAUAUGCCUCCCCCCGCUGCUGGAGGUCUUUAGGAAGCAGGAAACCUCCAAAGAAAAGCCAUGGAGGCUGAAGCUUCCUCCCUUCUAGGCAGUGCAGGUGAUGAUCAAGCUAGUGUUUGCCCUCAGGAAAGGAAAACCAACAUGGAUUAUCAGACCAAGAUAAAUGAUACAGCCACCAGUGAAAUAAGUGAUUUGAUCCAGUCGAUACUUGCACUAUAUGAUGCUUUGCCGCAGGCCCAGAGCAACAGAGCUAACCAAUCAUGAACUGAAAACUCCCCUGAAACUCUUAGUAACUUAAUUAUCUCAUGCACUUUACCAUAAUGGUGGGAAUCUGGCUGGCAGGUCUCUAUCAAGAGGAGAGAGAUUCCAAGAUCUCCCGCAAAUGCUUGAAACCAUAAUUAGUACCAACCACUUUGGAUACCACAUUUUUUUCCUGUGCAUGUGUACCUCAAUAAAAUUUAAGUCACAGAAA
Non-coding RNA from Peromyscus maniculatus bairdii (prairie deer mouse), 507 nucleotides. Lineage: Eukaryota; Metazoa; Chordata; Mammalia; Rodentia; Cricetidae. The record is from RefSeq and is a predicted model, not a curated record.